UACGAAGGGGGCUAGCGUUGCUCGGAAUCACUGGGCGUAAAGCGCACGUAGGCGGCUUUUUAAGUCAGAGGUGAAAUCCUGGAGCUCAACUCCAGAACUGCCUUUGAUACUGAGAAGCUUGAGUCCGGGAGAGGUGAGUGGAACUGCGAGUGUAGAGGUGAAAUUCGUAGAUAUUCGCAAGAACACCAGUGGCGAAGGCGGCUCACUGGCCCGGUACUGACGCUGAGGUGCGAAAGCGUGGGGAGCAAACAGG
This 253-nucleotide ribosomal RNA is filed under the name uncultured bacterium. Its description in RNAcentral is "partial 16S ribosomal RNA". It matches the Rfam family "Bacterial small subunit ribosomal RNA", at positions 524 to 776 of the family's 1533-position model. The record is from RNAcentral.